This 776-nucleotide ribosomal RNA is filed under the name bacterium enrichment culture clone SC-2_16. Its description in RNAcentral is "bacterial SSU rRNA". It matches the Rfam family "Bacterial small subunit ribosomal RNA", at positions 1 to 778 of the family's 1533-position model. The record is from RNAcentral.
UAGAGUUUGAUCCUGGCUCAGAUUGAACGCUGGCGGCAUGCCUUACACAUGCAAGUCGGACGGCAGCGCGGGCUUCGGCCUGGCGGCGAGUGGCGAACGGGUGAGUAAUACAUCGGAACGUGUCCUGGAGUGGGGGAUAGCCCGGCGAAAGCCGGAUUAAUACCGCAUACGCUCUGCGGAGGAAAGCGGGGGACCUUCGGGCCUCGCGCUCAAGGGGCGGCCGAUGGCAGAUUAGCUAGUUGGUGGGGUAAAGGCCUACCAAGGCGACGAUCUGUAGCUGGUCUGAGAGGACGACCAGCCACACUGGGACUGAGACACGGCCCAGACUCCUACGGGAGGCAGCAGUGGGGAAUUUUGGACAAUGGGGGCAACCCUGAUCCAGCAAUGCCGCGUGUGUGAAGAAGGCCUUCGGGUUGUAAAGCACUUUUGUCCGGAAAGAAAGCGUCCUGGCUAAUACCCGGGGCGGAUGACGGUACCGGAAGAAUAAGCACCGGCUAACUACGUGCCAGCAGCCGCGGUAAUACGUAGGGUGCGAGCGUUAAUCGGAAUUACUGGGCGUAAAGCGUGCGCAGGCGGUUCGCUAAGACCGAUGUGAAAUCCCCGGGCUUAACCUGGGAACUGCAUUGGUGACUGGCGGGCUAGAGUAUGGCAGAGGGAGGUAGAAUUCCACGUGUAGCAGUGAAAUGCGUAGAGAUGUGGAGGAAUACCGAUGGCGAAGGCAGCCUCCUGGGCCAAUACUGACGCUCAUGCACGAAAGCGUGGGGAGCAAACAGGAU